UACGGGGGGGGCAAGCGUUGUUCGGAAUUACUGGGCGUAAAGCGUGCGCAGGCGGUUUUGUAAGCCAGAUGUGAAAGCCCCGGGCUCAACCUGGGAAUGGCAUUUGGGACUGCAAGGCUUGAGUGCGGCAGAGGAGACUGGAAUUCCUGGUGUAGCAGUGAAAUGCGUAGAUAUCAGGAGGAAUACCGAUGGCGAAGGCAGGUCUCUGGGCUGACACUGACGCUCAUGCACGAAAGCGUGGGGAGCGAACAGG
This 253-nucleotide ribosomal RNA is filed under the name uncultured bacterium. RNAcentral describes it as "partial 16S ribosomal RNA". It matches the Rfam family "Bacterial small subunit ribosomal RNA", at positions 524 to 776 of the family's 1533-position model. The record is from RNAcentral.